GAUGAACGCUGGCGGCGUGCCUAAUACAUGCAAGUCGAGCGAACAGACGAGGAGCUUGCUCCUCUGACGUUAGCGGCGGACGGGUGAGUAACACGUGGAUAACCUACCUAUAAGACUGGGAUAACUUCGGGAAACCGGAGCUAAUACCGGAUAAUAUAUUGAACCGCAUGGUUCAAUAGUGAAAGACGGUUUUGCUGUCACUUAUAGAUGGAUCCGCGCCGCAUUAGCUAGUUGGUAAGGUAACGGCUUACCAAGGCGACGAUGCGUAGCCGACCUGAGAGGGUGAUCGGCCACACUGGAACUGAGACACGGUCCAGACUCCUACGGGAGGCAGCAGUAGGGAAUCUUCCGCAAUGGGCGAAAGCCUGACGGAGCAACGCCGCGUGAGUGAUGAAGGUCUUCGGAUCGUAAAACUCUGUUAUUAGGGAAGAACAAAUGCGUAAGUAACUAUGCACGUCUUGACGGUACCUAAUCAGAAAGCCACGGCUAACUACGUG
This 497-nucleotide ribosomal RNA is filed under the name uncultured bacterium. RNAcentral's name for it is "partial 16S ribosomal RNA". It matches the Rfam family "Bacterial small subunit ribosomal RNA", at positions 28 to 507 of the family's 1533-position model. The record is from RNAcentral.